Prosopis cineraria is the source of this 1054-nucleotide long non-coding RNA. RefSeq lists it as uncharacterized. The transcript has 3 exons. The record is from RefSeq and is a predicted model, not a curated record. NCBI's taxonomy places the organism in Eukaryota, Viridiplantae, Streptophyta, Magnoliopsida, Fabales, Fabaceae.
CUCCCUCCUCGUCCUCCUCCUCUGCUGACUGCUUCGUGUUGUUCUUCUUCUUCUUGUGGAGACAACCUCCCCAAUGACAUCCUCAACCAAGAUGAUCGAGACCUUGAAUCCUUAAUGCCUGAACUUUGUCUGCGAGCUCAGUGUUGUUGAAAGAAUCAGCCACCAUCUCCUGAUAGGUUUCCGCUGCCUGACCUCUCCGCUUUCUUCUGACAUUUUUGGAGGUUCCAGCCCCGACUCUUGCUCAGAUGGGCGAGAACAAAACAAGCCGGUGUUGUAAAUCCACUGAGCCGAGAUGGACGGCACAGCUACGACGUCGUCUUGCUGCAUAGCAUUGAUCUUUUGGUGCUCGUCUAAUUGGGAUAACGCCAAGCAGUUGGCCGCUACAGGAAGGAGGCUGCGCGUGGGGGAGAUUGUGAUGGCUAGAAGAUAGACAAGACCGUGAUCUGGACCUUGCACGAAUAGUUUGGAUAGAAUCAAAGAAGCUCUCGCACAUCGUAGUCCCAGCAAUCCUCAGCCGUUGUCAACGAUCAACAAGGCUAUGGCUGGAGUAGUCAACGAUGCAGCUCCCAGUGCCGAUGUAGUCGCCGUUGGUGAACACCAUGCUCGGAAUGAGAGGCAGUCGGUGCAUUGGAGGAGCACGGUAAACUAGCUCGUGGGGAGGAGAGAGAAAAUGAUUGUGCAGAGCUUCCAAAGGACCUGAAAGUGAUUGCGAGGAGCAGAAGAGGAGUCUGCCUGAUGAGUAGUGUCACGCCCCAAAAAAAUAAAGUUGACCAAUGCAGAAUGCGAACCAGAUCAUAUAUCUCACAGAAGCUUGGGACUUGGCAUCAAAGGCUUGGGAGCUCCAUGUCGUCCUUCUACAUUUCAGUGUAGUUUUUCCAAGAAAUGAGAAGAGGGAGGAGAGGAGGAAGCCACCUGGUAGAGGAGAGAGUAGUGAUGAGAAGGAAAAAAAUUCUUGGGCCACCAUUAACAAUUAAUGCACAUUUUUUUAAUAUAAGGCCACAAAAUGACUAUUGUCUAGUUAUAUCUAAAGUCUUAAGGCUUAUAUAAAUUGUGG